AAUUAUUAUUAAAAAAAAUUUAUAAUUCAAAAUAUAAUUCUAUUAUCACUAAAUUUUAAUAAUAGAAAUUUCAUUUAUUCCUAAUUUAAGUCCAUUAUUAGAAGGGAAAUCUCGAAUGAGGAAUAGCUAGUAAUUCACCAAUUACUAAACAAAAUGCAUCUUUUCUUGGUCCCGCAUCGCGAGUGCUGCAUUCAAGAACUCAUCCAUGGCUCUCACAGAGGACCCCUUCAAAUCUUUCUCGCAUUUCACUGCAUCCUUAAUCAUGUCUUUCGCUCCACAAGCCUUCUUUCUCAUUUCCACCCCUUUUUCUGUCCCAUUCAUCACCAACUCUAUCUUUUUCACUAUAUCUUCAUGGCUAACUUGGCAGAUCUUUCCUCUAGCCACCUCCACACAUACUCCUAUCUUUUCUUCCAAAAGCUUAACAUUGUAGAAUUGUUCUGCUGCCAUUGGCCACCCAAUUAAUGGCACACCAUAGCUUAGAGAUUCGAGCACUGAAUUCCACCCACAAUGACUCAGAAAUGCUGACACAGACUUGUGAGACAAAAUUUCCAGCUGUGGUGCCCAUUUAUGCACCAGUAACCCUCUUUUUGAAUCUUUGAUUCUUUCUUCAAAUCCUUCAGGGAGCCAAUCUUUUGCUCUAAAUUCCAAAUUGAUGUCAAAUCCAAUAGGUGGCCUGACAACCCAGAUAAAGUUUUUGCCGCUAGCCUCCAAUGCCAUGGCUAGCUCCAUCAUUUGUGAUGCAGAUAUAGUGUUCUGUGAACCAAAUGAUAUAUAUAGAACUGAAUUCACAGGUUUUGUGUUGAGCCAGUUUUUGCAGAGUUCAGAAGUAAUUCCAAUUUGAUCUUGGCUUCUCUUGGACAGGAGCACUGGCCCAAUUGGCCAAAUUGGGCGGCAAAUUUCGCGCCUAAAAUACAUCAAUCCAAGUUUGUCAAGUUCCUCCACUGUAUUAAGCAAAAUCCCAUCAGCAUUGGACCAUUCUGGAAGCACCAGCUGCAGAAAAACCGAGAACGGAUCGCUACCAUUGGCUUCUCUUAAAUGAUCUGCUAACUGUGUGACAUGAAUUGCACCAACUUCUGGAAAAUCUGGUAAAGUAAAUUCAUCAGAAUUUAUAUCCCGGUGGGGUAGGUUUAACCACAGAGAGUAGUAACAAGCAAAGCCAAAACCACCACCCCCAAAAAAUAUAGCAUGAAAGACUCCAAACUGAUGGGCAAUCUCUGCACACCAGCCAAAGAAUAUGCCUGUGAUGAUACAAAGUGGUGGGUGGCCAUUUUGUUCCUUCACAAGAUCAGCAAUGAGCUUCUUGAAUGAUGGUUUGAGAGCGAGAGAAGCAUGAAAAAGGUUGGGUACGAGAUGGUAAGGAAUAGAAUCGGUGUUCUCAGUAUGAGGAGGCAGGCCAUAGUCGGAGCUGUUAAAAGGGAUUUCGACAAGGCGAAUGGAGGAGUCAGCAGGGAGUGACGAUCUGAGUUUCUUGAUGUUUAGGGAGGUGUUAACAAAAGUGAUGGUGUAAUUCUUGGUUUGUUCUAAUUGAAGGGCUAAUGCUAGGAAAGGAAUGAUAUGGCCUUGUGCCAUGAAAGGGAACAUUACUAUGUUUUCUUUUGCCUGUGACAUUAUUUCUUUUGGAAGGAGAUGAUGAAGUUAAUUGUUGGAACCCAUUUUGUUUUGAGUUCUCCGUCCUGUAUUUAUCCAAUUAAUUUGAAAAUAAUACAUCAAAAAACAU
RNAcentral lists this unclassified non-coding RNA (1717 nucleotides) under Hevea brasiliensis (rubber tree). Lineage: Eukaryota; Viridiplantae; Streptophyta; Magnoliopsida; Malpighiales; Euphorbiaceae. The record is from RNAcentral.